GAUGAAGAACGCAGCGAAAUGCGAUAAGUAAUGUGAAUUGCAGAAUUCAGUGAAUCAUCGAAUCUUUGAACGCACAUUGCGCCCGCCAGUAUUCUGGCGGGCAUGCCUGUCCGAGCGUCAUUUCAACCCUCAAGCCCAGCUUGGUGUUGGGGAUCGGCACAGGCGCCCUCGGGCGCCAGCCGUCCCCUAAAUCUAGUGGCGGUCCCGCUGCAGCCUCCUCUGCGUAGUAGUUUUCUCCUCGCAAGGGCAGCUCGGUGGCGACCUCGCCGUAAAACCCCCAACUUCUGAAAGGUUGACCUCGAAUCAGGUAGGAAUACCCGCUGAACUUAAGCAUAUCAAUAAGCGGAGGA
This 350-nucleotide unclassified non-coding RNA is filed under the name soil metagenome. RNAcentral's name for it is "partial contains 5.8S ribosomal RNA, internal transcribed spacer 2, and large subunit ribosomal RNA". The stretch from base 1 to 120 matches the Rfam family "5.8S ribosomal RNA", at positions 35 to 154 of the family's 154-position model. The record is from RNAcentral.